This 427-nucleotide ribosomal RNA is filed under the name uncultured bacterium. RNAcentral's name for it is "partial 16S ribosomal RNA". It matches the Rfam family "Bacterial small subunit ribosomal RNA", at positions 355 to 774 of the family's 1533-position model. The record is from RNAcentral.
UGGGGAAUAUUGGACAAUGGGCGAAAGCCUGAUCCAGCCAUGCCGCGUGUGUGAAGAAGGUCUUCGGAUUGUAAAGCACUUUAAGUUGGGAGGAAGGGCAUUAACCUAAUACGUUAGUGUUUUGACGUUACCGACAGAAUAAGCACCGGCUAACUCUGUGCCAGCAGCCGCGGUAAUACAGAGGGUGCAAGCGUUAAUAGGCAUUACUGGGCGUAAAGCGCGCGUAGGUGGUUUGUUAAGUUGGAUGUGAAAUCCCCGGGCUCAACCUGGGAACUGCAUUCAAAACUGACUGACUAGAGUAUGGUAGAGGGUGGUGGAAUUUCCUGUGUAGCGGUGAAAUGCGUAGAUAUAGGAAGGAACACCAGUGGCGAAGGCGACCACCUGGACUAAUACUGACACUGAGGUGCGAAAGCGUGGGGAGCAAACA